This 373-nucleotide ribosomal RNA is filed under the name Pseudomiopteryx sp. MN550. RNAcentral describes it as "partial 12S ribosomal RNA". Lineage: Eukaryota; Metazoa; Arthropoda; Insecta; Mantodea; Thespidae. The record is from RNAcentral.
AUACCCUAUUAUUUUUUAUGUAAAUAAUUAGUCUUGGGUAGUAGUAGUUAUGAUCUUAAAACUUAAAGAAUUUGGCGGUAUUUUGAUCUGUUUAGAGGAAUUUGUUAUGUAAUUGAUAAUCCACAUUGAACCUUACUUGAAAUGGGUUCUUGUAUAUCGCUGUUUGAGGAAUCUUCUUUUAGGUAAUUUUCUUAAUAAUUAUUUUAUUAAAAUUUCAAGUCAAGGUGCAGUAGUUUUUAAGUUUAAUAAUGGAUUACAAUAAAUUUUAUUUAAAUGGAUAGUAUUUUGAAAUAAAAAUUUGAAGGUGGAUUUAAGUGUAAUUUUUUAAAGAUUAUUAAUAUGAUUUUAAGGCUCUGAAAUAUGUACACAUCGC